CGGACUUAGGAAACCUGGGAUGAGAUAUUUUUAGGCUUCAAGUUUGAAUCAACUUGAGGCCUAUAAAUACUCCUCUCAUCUCUGGUCAACAUACAUAAGCACAGAGAAUUUAAAAGUGAGAAAACGUUGCUGCAAUCUCUUGAGAAAUUUCCUCCUCCACUCUAAGUUUAGAAUUCUGUAAGAGAGGAGUGAGUGCUUGUAAGGGUUGUCUCCUAAACCCGGUAAAAG
This 228-nucleotide long non-coding RNA is filed under the name Musa acuminata (dwarf banana). RNAcentral's name for it is "long non-coding RNA (MACU_LNC010627)". The record is from RNAcentral. Lineage: Eukaryota; Viridiplantae; Streptophyta; Magnoliopsida; Zingiberales; Musaceae.